AUGUUUCCUUUGUUUGAUUUCUGAUUCAUUUUGAACAUUAUUACCCAGUUAAAUUGAUUAGUUAUUGAUUUGGUUAUGUUUUGGUGUGUUUUCUUUAUGAGUCCCUUUCCCUAAUUGUGUUUCUUUUCCCCCUACAGAGCUGACGGCCAACGGUGGUGGUGGUGGUCCUCCAAGGUGGUGGUGAUCCCUGAGUGUGUGCGUUUUAUUUGACUCCCCGUUUGAAGAUUUAUUUGUGUGCACCUUAUGUUUGCUGUGAGUGGGGUGUUCUCUUUUCUUUGGACGUCACCAGUUUUGACCCCUCCUCUAGCCCGUG
RNAcentral lists this long non-coding RNA (313 nucleotides) under Xyrichtys novacula (pearly razorfish). Lineage: Eukaryota; Metazoa; Chordata; Actinopteri; Labriformes; Labridae. The record is from RNAcentral.